RNAcentral lists this ribosomal RNA (373 nucleotides) under uncultured bacterium. RNAcentral's name for it is "bacterial SSU rRNA". It matches the Rfam family "Bacterial small subunit ribosomal RNA", at positions 521 to 896 of the family's 1533-position model. The record is from RNAcentral.
UAAUACGGAGGGUGCAAGCGUUAUCCGGAUUCACUGGGUUUAAAGGGUGCGUAGGAGGGCAGGUAAGUCAGUGGUGAAAUCUUCGAGCUUAACUCGGAAACUGCCGUUGAUACUAUCUGUCUUGAAUACCGUGGAGGUGAGCGGAAUAUGUCAUGUAGCGGUGAAAUGCUUAGAUAUGACAUAGAACACCGAUUGCGAAGGCAGCUCACUACACGAAUAUUGACUCUGAGGCACGAAAGCGUGGGGAUCAAACAGGAUUAGAUACCCUGGUAGUCCACGCCCUAAACUAUGGAUACUCGACAUACGCGAUACACUGUGUGUGUCUGAGCGAAAGCAUUAAGUAUCCCACCUGGGAAGUACGACCGCAAGGUUG